AUGCCACCAAUCACUGUGACUACACGCUCUGGUCCUGGUCCAGGUGUGGCCCUCGUCCACGUCCUUGGCGCCAAGAAACCUCUGGUGCCUGGAAUUAAAGGUUUGACCUUUGCGCUCGGCGCCGCGCCCUUUUCCCCAUUAAUUAAAUGCGUCCUCAUGGCACCGCGGCUCGCCGUCAAGAGAAAUGCUUCUUGGCUCAGUGAAAUUUUGGAGAGACACACCUUAUCUGAAAAGUAUCUUGGCCUUCCGACAGCUGCAGGUAGAAUCACGGAGCAGCUCUUUGAGUACAUCAUUGAACAUUCGAGGGUGCAAGGGUAUUGUGAGAAGAAGAUGUCAUGUGCAGCAAAAGAAGCACUUCUCAAGUCUAUUAUCCAGGCCUUACCGACCUUCUUUAUGAGUUGUUUUAAACUCACUAAGGUGUUAUGCAAGAAAAUAAUGACACCUAUGUCAAAGUACUGGUGGGCUGGAUCUUUAGACAAAACAGGUAUGCUUUGGCAAUCUUGGCAGAAAAUUUCAGUGUCAAAAUUCAGAGGUGGCAUGGGUUAUCGGGAUCUUGAGUUGUUUAAUGAUUGUAUGCUGGCAAAACAAGCAUGGCCCCUGAUGGAUAAACCGGAGAGCCAGUGUGCUGGGGUGUUAAAGGGGAGGUAUUACCCUCAUUGUGAUUUCCUUGCUGCAGAUUGCCCAAAGAACGCAUCUCGAACCUGGAAAGAAAUCAUGCAGGGAAGAGAGGUUCUGAAGGAAGGAUUGAUUCGAGAGUUGGGGACGGGUGUACUACAGAAAUCUGGCAUGACCAGUGGAUUUCAGAUACAACUUCCAUGA
This 819-nucleotide ribosomal RNA is filed under the name Triticum aestivum (bread wheat). Its description in RNAcentral is "partial small subunit ribosomal RNA". The record is from RNAcentral. Lineage: Eukaryota; Viridiplantae; Streptophyta; Magnoliopsida; Poales; Poaceae.